RNAcentral lists this microRNA precursor (398 nucleotides) under Chlamydomonas reinhardtii. RNAcentral describes it as "miR1150 stem-loop (cre-MIR1150)". Lineage: Eukaryota; Viridiplantae; Chlorophyta; Chlorophyceae; Chlamydomonadales; Chlamydomonadaceae. The record is from miRBase by way of RNAcentral.
GGACGCGCAGCGGAGCAGAUCCCCGUCAUACCCCGCUUGGUGCAGCGCGUCAAUAUCCCUCUUGGCGAGCUUCGCAAAUAGAGUCGGCCCCAGUUUCCGCUGCAGCUGGGCUUCGUGCUUCCAGCUUCCUGCACGGCUCGCCGUCCGAGCGCCUUGCUUGCCGCCCGAUACGCAGUUCGGAUUCGUAUACGCAUAUCGAACUCAAUCCGAGUCGCGUAUCAUCGGGUGGCAAGGAAGGCGCUGGAAGCCUCUGACAGCGAGCCAUGCAGGAAGCUGAAAGCCUGAAAGCCCACCUGCAGCGGCGACUGGGGCCGACCCUGUUUGCAAAGCUCGCCGAGAGGGACAUUGAUGCGCUGCACCAAGCGGGGUAUGACGGGGAUACGCUCCGCUUCGCGUCC